This 2152-nucleotide long non-coding RNA is filed under the name Marmota monax (woodchuck). Lineage: Eukaryota; Metazoa; Chordata; Mammalia; Rodentia; Sciuridae. The record is from RNAcentral.
CAGGAGGCCCCAGAAAAUCCACUUACAGGAGGCCCCAGAAAAUCCACUUACAGGAGGAAGGCUUUAUUUUGGCUCUUGGUCUCAGUUGUCUCAGUCCUGUGUCACCACCCAUUGCUUUCAGUCUGUGGUGGGGCAGGACUUCAGGGUGGGAGGGGGCGUGCCACCAGGAAGCAAAGAGGAGAAGGGGCUGGUGUCACCGCACCCCCUCAGGGACACUGCUGCAGGACCCACUUCCUCCCACAAGACCCCACAUCCCAAAGGCUCCAGCACAUCCUGAUAGCACCUCAGGUGGGGACCAAGCCUUCAAAACGAGGGUCUUCAGGUCAUUCAAGGCCCAAACCCUGAUGCUGCCUAAAGUUGUUUUUCUUUUUAAAGUAAUUGAAAAAACUAUUUUUUGAUGUUGUGUAAUUGCUUAUCUUGGGAUGGGAAAACAGAGGCAUGAAACCCAGAAGCUGUGUAGACUUUAAGUGUGUGUCCUGCAGGCACAUCCAGAGGAGGCCUCAGUGGUCACUACUGGCUUCUUCUUUUCCCAAUGUUUUGCUUGCCAUUCUGAGCUCUCGCAGUGCCCCCUGCUGCUGACGCUCAUGCAGGGUCCUGGGUUAGGAACUUGUCCCUGGGAGCUAAAGCAGUACACACAUCUGGGUGUUUUCUCAGGGUCAUUGCUCCUGCUUGGGGGCAGCGAUCACACCCGACCCAGCAAAGGGUUAACAUCUGGGGAAAUCGUGGAGUAUGCAGCGGGAACCUGAGGCCGAUCUGCUGGGCAACUGUGCACGGCUGCGGGAGUGAUUCUAUCUCUGGGUUACUUUUAAUCCCCAUUAUUAAAAAUCAGAAAUAGUUUGCUAACCUUGGCCUCAGUGGAGCAGACUUGGAAACUUUGCUCCUGUUUCCUGAGUCAGGACCUUCCUGUCACCCCAGCCCACAUUUGCUACAGGGACAUCCCCAGGAGGUGUUUCCCGGCUGCCCCUUAUCCUUGUUUUGCUGCAUACCUAGAGUUAGGAGGCGGGGUCCCUGUCCCCCAUAGCCUCCUAUGGACCAUGGUUGCCCCCCACCCUCUCAAAAGAGCCAGGAGCUCUCCCUGUUUUGGCCACCUCAGCCCAGGCUCUGGGGACCCUCGCCCCAGUGUUCUCCUGGCUCUUCUGGCUUUAGGUUCAGCAUCCUUGGACGGAGGGACAGACCACCAAACCCCACCUGCUGUAACUGUGGAGACUCUCCAAGUCUAAAUCAGGGACAGCGCAGGCCAAUAGCAGCAAGGGGCUUCCACAGCCAUCGAAGCACAAGGGAGAAGACCAGCCUCAGGGCCUGGCUCCCCCGGGCACAGCAGGCCGGGGAGUCAGGGAGCAGGCAGGCUGGACAGUGGCCUCCCUGAAGUGGUGGACGUGGGAACCUGAUGUGUCUGUGAUUAUUUAUUCAGCUCUGACACCACAUUAAGCAGCCUCCCAGGGGGAGCGCAAUUGGAUUCCCAUGAAUUAAGGCACACGGUGAUGAAACCACAGCGGCAGCAAUUUAAUUUAAAAUGACAGCGUUGCUUCCGAAGGAAACAACAAACAGACUCACUGAGAGAAACCGGGAACCUCGCCUCCGGACAGAGGCAGCCUCAGCACACACCUCCUGGGUCACACAGGGGAGUAGAGGGCUCGUGCUGCAUCACGCGAGGCUCCAGGGUCCACUGUCCACCGCUGAGGCCAGCACCUGGGGCUCUGCAAGUCCAGGCCUGUCUGGGCCCCACACAAUGUCCACCAGGCCCUCUGCUGUGUCCAGAGGUUGGCUUUGCCCAUCUUGUGGGAUUUCACUGGACAGAGGGUAAGAGGUGGCCCAGCCCCUGGCCAACCCCUGGCUCAUAGUAGAUGUCUGUGUGUUGCACCCAGGGGCAUUGCUGACUGUGCCCGGUGGUUUGCUCAUGUGUGGGGUUUAGGACCCACAUGUGCAUCGAGGGGAAGGAUGUACAACAGGGCCAUUGUAGGCAUUUCCAGUCCUUGACCCGAGAUCUGGAGGUGGGCAACUGAGUGGCCUGCCCCUCACAGCCAGGGGACCUGACCCUCCUGCCCCACUUCCUGUGUAGCUUCCUUCCCUGACCCUCCGGCCAGGCCACACAGGCAUCCUGGCCCUGACCCCACCCACAUUUCCCCUGUGCACUGAUUUACGACCUGCUGCC